Sander lucioperca (pikeperch) is the source of this 236-nucleotide long non-coding RNA. RefSeq lists it as uncharacterized. Lineage: Eukaryota; Metazoa; Chordata; Actinopteri; Perciformes; Percidae. The record is from RefSeq and is a predicted model, not a curated record. The transcript is spliced from 2 exons.
ACAAUUUAACCGUAGCCAAGUUAUACUUGUUUCUCUGUGUAUCUGUGCUUGAACAUCAUGACUGACUUUGAGGGACAGAAGGAGGAGCAGCGGCGGGAGGUGGCACUCACUUUUCCAGAACAAGAAGUUCCCAACCCACACCCGCAGGAGGAGCAGCUGCCCUACCCGACCCUGGCCCCUGUAGUUUUCCACUGCUUAAAACAGACCACAAGACUCCGUAACUGGUGUCUGCAAGU